Molecule: ribosomal RNA, 254 nt
Filed under: uncultured bacterium
Lineage: Bacteria
Description: partial 16S ribosomal RNA
Rfam family: Bacterial small subunit ribosomal RNA
Source: RNAcentral
UACAGAGGUCCCAAGCGUUGUUCGGAUUCAUUGGGCGUAAAGGGCGCGUAGGCGGUCUUGUAAGUCUUGUGUGAAAUCCCUCGGCUCAACUGAGGAACUGCACGGGAUACUGCGAGACUUGAGUUCGGGAGAGGGAAGCGGAAUUCCGGGUGUAGCGGUGAAAUGCGUAGAUAUCCGGAGGAACACCGGUGGCGAAGGCGGCUUCCUGGACCGAUUACUGACGCUGAGGCGCGAAAGCUAGGGGAGCAAACGGG